AUCAAAUCGUACCCCAAACCGACACAGGUGGUCAGGUAGAGAAUACCAAGGCGCUUGAGAGAACUCGGGUGAAGGAACUAGGCAAAAUGGUGCCGUAACUUCGGGAGAAGGCACGCUGAUAUGUAGGUGAAGUCCCUCGCGGAUGGAGCUGAAAUCAGUCGAAGAUACCAGCUGGCUGCAACUGUUUAUUAAAAACACAGCACUGUGCAAACACGAAAGUGGACGUAUACGGUGUGACGCCUGCCCGGUGCCGGAAGGUUAAUUGAUGGGGUCAGCGCAAGCGAAGCUCUUGAUCGAAGCCCCGGUAAACGGCGGCCGUAACUAUAACGGUCCUAAGGUAGCGAAAUUCCUUGUCGGGUAAGUUCCGACCUGCACGAAUGGCGUAAUGAUGGCCAGGCUGUCUCCACCCGAGACUCAGUGAAAUUGAACUCGCUGUGAAGAUGCAGUGUACCCGCGGCAAGACGGAAAGACCCCGUGAACCUUUACUAUAGCUUGACACUGAACAUUGAGCCUUGAUGUGUAGGAUAGGUGGGAGGCUUUGAAGUGUGGACGCCAGUCUGCAUGGAGCCGACCUUGAAAUACCACCCUUUAAUGUUUGAUGUUCUAACGUGGACCCGUGAUCCGGGUUGCGGACAGUGUCUGGUGGGUAGUUUGACUGGGGCGGUCUCCUCCUAAAGAGUAACGGAGGAGCACGAAGGUUGGCUAAUCCUGGUCGGACAUCAGGAGGUUAGUGCAAUGGCAUAAGCCAGCUUGACUGCGAGCGUGACGGCGCGAGCAGGUGCGAAAGCAGGUCAUAGUGAUCCGGUGGUUCUGAAUGGAAGGGCCAUCGCUCAACGGAUAAAAGGUACUCCGGGGAUAACAGGCUGAUACCGCCCAAGAGUUCAUAUCGACGGCGGUGUUUGGCACCUCGAUGUCGGCUCAUCACAUCCUGGGGCUGAAGUAGGUCCCAAGGGUAUGGCUGUUCGCCAUUUAAAGUGGUACGCGAGCUGGGUUUAGAACGUCGUGAGACAGUUCGGUCCCUAUCUGCCGUGGGCGCUGGAGAACUGAGGGGGGCUGCUCCUAGUACGAGAGGACCGGAGUGGACGCAUCACUGGUGUUCGGGUUGUCAUGCCAAUGGCACUGCCCGGUAGCUAAAUGCGGAAGAGAUAAGUGCUGAAAGCAUCUAAGCACGAAACUUGCCCCGAGAUGAGUUCUCCCUGACCCUUUAAGGGUCCUGAAGGAACGUUGAAGACGACGACGUUGAUAGGCCGGGUGUGUAAGCGCAGCGAUGCGUUGAGCUAACCGGUACUAAUGAACCGUGAGGCUUAACCUU
Molecule: ribosomal RNA, 1312 nt
Filed under: Escherichia coli
Lineage: Bacteria; Pseudomonadati; Pseudomonadota; Gammaproteobacteria; Enterobacterales; Enterobacteriaceae
Description: partial 23S ribosomal RNA
Rfam family: Bacterial large subunit ribosomal RNA
Source: RNAcentral